This 253-nucleotide ribosomal RNA is filed under the name uncultured bacterium. Its description in RNAcentral is "partial 16S ribosomal RNA". It matches the Rfam family "Bacterial small subunit ribosomal RNA", at positions 524 to 776 of the family's 1533-position model. The record is from RNAcentral.
UACAUGUGGGGCAAGCGUUGUUCGGAAUUACUGGGCAUAAAGGGUGCGUAGGUGGUCUGUUAAGUCAGUGGUGAAAUCCCGCGGCCCAACCGUGGAACUGCCAUCGAUACUGGCGGACUUGAGUGCGUGAGGGGUUACCGGAACGAGCAGUGUAGCGGUGAAAUGCGUAGAUAUUGCUCGGAAGGCCAGAGGCGAAGGCGGGUAACUGGCACGCAACUGACGCUGAGGCGCGAAAGCUAGGGGAGCAAACAGG